GAUGAAGUGCCUGAGUAAAAGGGUUAUCUUGAUAGGAUAAAUUAUAUAAUUAUUUAAUUAUUUUCAUUA
This 69-nucleotide transfer RNA is filed under the name Scelio sp. ZJUH_2016028. Its description in RNAcentral is "tRNA-Ile". Lineage: Eukaryota; Metazoa; Arthropoda; Insecta; Hymenoptera; Scelionidae. The record is from RNAcentral.